This 484-nucleotide ribosomal RNA is filed under the name uncultured bacterium. Its description in RNAcentral is "partial 16S ribosomal RNA". It matches the Rfam family "Bacterial small subunit ribosomal RNA", at positions 30 to 507 of the family's 1533-position model. The record is from RNAcentral.
AUUGAACGCUGGCGGCAGGCCUAACACAUGCAAGUCGAGCGGAUGAAGGGAGCUUGCUCCUGGAUUCAGCGGCGGACGGGUGAGUAAUGCCUAGGAAUCUGCCUGGUAGCGGGGGAUAACGUCCGGAAACGGGCGCUAAUACCGCAUACGUCCUGAGGGAGAAAGUGGGGGAUCUUCGGACCUCACGCUAUCAGAUGAGCCUAGGUCGGAUUAGCUAGUUGGUGGGGUAAAGGCCUACCAAGGCGACGAUCCGUAACUGGUCUGAGAGGAUGAUCAGUCACACUGGAACUGAGACACGGUCCAGACUCCUACGGGAGGCAGCAGUGGGGAAUAUUGGACAAUGGGCGAAAGCCUGAUCCAGCCAUGCCGCGUGUGUGAAGAAGGUCUUCGGGUUGUAAAGCACUUUAAGUUGGGAGGAAGGGCAGUAAGUUAAUACCUUGCUGUUUUGACGUUACCAACAGAAUAAGCACCGGCUAACUUCGUG